UACAGAGGUCUCAAGCGUUGUUCGGAAUUACUGGGCGUAAAGGGCGCGCAGGCGGCCUUAGAAGUCAGAUGUGAAAGCCCCGGGCUCAACCUGGGAAUGGCAUUUGAUACUCUGAGGCUGGAGUACGGGAGAGGAGAGUGGAAUUCCCAGUGUAGAGGUGAAAUUCGUAGAUAUUGGGAAGAACACCGGUGGCGAAGGCGGCUCUCUGGACCGUAACUGACGCUGAGGCGCGAAAGCGUGGGGAGCAAACAGG
This 253-nucleotide ribosomal RNA is filed under the name uncultured bacterium. RNAcentral describes it as "partial 16S ribosomal RNA". It matches the Rfam family "Bacterial small subunit ribosomal RNA", at positions 524 to 776 of the family's 1533-position model. The record is from RNAcentral.